This 501-nucleotide ribosomal RNA is filed under the name uncultured bacterium. RNAcentral's name for it is "bacterial SSU rRNA". It matches the Rfam family "Bacterial small subunit ribosomal RNA", at positions 28 to 522 of the family's 1533-position model. The record is from RNAcentral.
GACGAACGCUGGCGGCGUGCUUAACACAUGCAAGUCUACGAGAACGAGGUAGCAAUAUCUUUAGUAAAGUGGCGUACGGGUGCGUAACACGUAAGUAAUCUACCUUUGGGUUCGGAAUAACUUCGGGAAAUCGGAGCUAAUACCGGAUAAUGCAGCGGCACCGCAUGGUGAUGUUGUUAAAGUUUGCGUAACGCCUAAAAGAUGAGCUUGCGUCUGAUUUAGUUUGUUGGUGAGGUAACGGCUCACCAAGGCUGCGAUCAGUAGCUGGUCUGAGAGGAUGAUCAGCCACACUGGAACUGAGACACGGUCCAGACUCCUACGGGAGGCAGCAGUGAGGAAUAUUGGGCAAUGCCCGCGAAGGGUGACCCAGCAACGCCGCGUGGAGGAUGAAGGUCGUAAGAUUGUAAACUCCUGUUAGAGGGGAAGAAUAACUAAGUUUGGAGCUUAGUAUGACUGUACCCUCAGAGAAAGCCCCGGCUAACUACGUGCCAGCAGGCCGAC